AGCGAACGCUGGCGGCAGGCCUAACACAUGCAAGUCGAACGCCCCUUCGGGGGAUUGGCGGACGGGUGAGUAACGCGUGGGAAUGUGCCCUUUGGUACAGAACAACUGAGGGACACUUCAGCUAAUACCGUAUGUGCCCUACGGGGGAAAGAUUUAUCGCCAUUGGAGCAGCCCGCGUUGGAUUAGGUAGUUGGUGGGGUAAUGGCCCACCAAGCCGACGAUCCAUAGCUGGUCUGAGAGGAUGAUCAGCCACACUGGGACUGAGACACGGCCCAGACUCCUACGGGAGGCAGCAGUGGGGAAUCUUGCGCAAUGGGCGAAAGCCUGACGCAGCCAUGCCGCGUGAAUGAUGAAGGUCUUAGGAUUGUAAAAUUCUUUAACCGGGGAAGAUAAUGACGGUACCCGGAGAAGAAGCCCCGGCUAACUUCGUG
RNAcentral lists this ribosomal RNA (431 nucleotides) under uncultured bacterium. Its description in RNAcentral is "partial 16S ribosomal RNA". It matches the Rfam family "Bacterial small subunit ribosomal RNA", at positions 29 to 507 of the family's 1533-position model. The record is from RNAcentral.